CGGCCUCUGCCAAGUUGACCUUGGGCCUUUAUGUGUUGACCCUACAAGUACUGUUUCGGGAGCCUCAAGCCCGUUCGGCUGCGUGUAAACCCGGCAUUGCGACCGGGGAACACAACCCGAACCUGAGGCACCCACUUAGACACUCCGGGUCUGAACAUGUUUACUCCCAUCGUCCGGCGGAGGUUUU
RNAcentral lists this non-coding RNA (187 nucleotides) under Planctomycetota bacterium. Its description in RNAcentral is "6S RNA". It matches the Rfam family "6S / SsrS RNA". Rfam says of the family: E. coli 6S RNA was the first non coding RNA to be sequenced, but its function was unknown until recently. The record is from RNAcentral. Lineage: Bacteria; Pseudomonadati; Planctomycetota.